Molecule: long non-coding RNA, 5817 nt
Organism: Alligator mississippiensis (American alligator)
Lineage: Eukaryota; Metazoa; Chordata; Crocodylia; Alligatoridae
Exons: 5
Source: RefSeq, a predicted model, not a curated record
UGAGAUGCUGCAACAGGCACAUGCUUGCUCAUCUGGAUGCACCCACUAAGUACAGUUAAAAGGAAAGGAGACACACAUUCAAGCAGUUUACAUGUGUUAAGUACCAUUGCAGAGUUGGUGUAGUUGUUCCCUUUCAGGACAGAGUUAUCUCCUAAGACCUACUAACUUUAAUAGGUCACUACUUUCCAAUGAUUUACAACUUUUGCAAGUGAAUGUGUGCCACCACAUUGACACUUAUUAACUUCAAAACAUCACAACAUUCCAUUGAUUUGUGGCAAGUGAAUGUGUGACCGGGCUUUUAGUUGGAAUUUUUCCAUCAGAAUUAUUUUCCCAUUGAAGAUGGUUUCUUCCACUAACCUAGCAUUUUCUACACAAAAAUGACAAGAUGUUUCCAAGGAGGCAUUAGGAAGUGAAAAAGUUCUAUUUUGAGUCUCCUGAAUUAAUUUUUUUCCCAGAAAUCCCUUCAUGUGAAAACAAUUUGCAUUUUUUUUUCAUUCCAACUUGGGAUAAAAAUAUCUUCAAAAAGGUGACAUUUUUUGCAGGAAGAGACUUCCAUGUUCUUGGCCUAUUUUAUUAGGAUGCAAACAUAAAACUUAACAAACAUAGUUAAUUCAUAAUACUUGGUAUUGAAGUUUAUUACCUUGGGAAUGCUAAGCAUCAGUCUACAAUUAACAAGCAGUUAUGGAAGAGUGUUUGGAGUGUGAAAAGUCCUUUUUGGUGCCAGAAGAGGAAGACUGAUUUGUUAGUUAUAUUACUGGUAGAUUUUAUCAGAUUAUGAGAGCUGCAGAUAAAAUUAUGGACCAGGCACCCAAGGAAGAAGCACCCCAGGAGGUGCCCUCCACAGCAGAGUGGCAGACGGUCACAUCCAGGACCAGGGCUGCUCGUAGCAUACCAGUACCAGUUCCUCCAGUCCAACUGGAGAACAGGUAUGAGGCCCUGGCGACGCUGCAGGAGAUGGAAGGAGAGGAGGAAACCUCUGGGCAGGAAGCAAUGCCACAUUCUCCACACUCCAAACAGAUCAAGGGAACCAAGCAGACCCAGAGGAGGUGGCGUCGAGUGAUCGUCAUAGGCGACCCCAUCCUGAGAGUGAGUGGACAUGGCAGAUGACACGAGAACUACAUUAGAGAGACCAACUGGUGGCUUUGGCAAUGGUGUCUCAAGGCAGGCUUCGGCUUCCUUGACAAUGACCCGCACAUCACGACGAGAGACACGCUCAGUUGGGAUGGGCUUCACCUGUCCCCCAAAGGUAAGCAUGUGUUCUCUUCUAGGUUGGCAGAUCUCCUCCAGCUGGAUUUAAACUAGGCUCAUCAGGGGGAGGGGAAGAUGAGGGCGGGGGAAGCCAUGGACCACCAAACCAUGUGGCACUCACAAGGACAGUCCAGCCUGAAGAAGGAGAACAUCGGGAACCUGCAAUCCAUGGGGCGGCCAGCAGUACAGCACAGGAAGUUCCUUCAGAUUUUGAUUUUGGGACUAUAUCAGCUAAAACACUGGAUGUACAAGUCCUGCCUGAGUUCUUGGCUUUCUUGUGUCAGUUCUUCUGCCAUUAAGGUGCUCAGGACCAAGAUUGGUACUCAGAUACUGAAUGUCCAGUUGGCUUCAAUGAGCAUCAGGGCUCUUCAUCUUCAAAAGACCAACAGGCAACAUGAUACAGUCAUCAGUGUGUAUGUCUAACCUUUGAUGCAGGUGACAAAACAAAAGAAAAUUCUAUUGUAAAUCUGACCAAGUCCCCAAGGAAGAUAAGAUAACUCUUCUCAAUGAUGUCAGUGCUAGAGUGGGAAGGGUCUCCAAGCUAUGGAGAGGAAUGAUGGAUGGUGCAUUCCAUCAUAUCCAUCCAUAUUGCCCCAAAAUAAUAUAAGCAAACAAAGCAACUAAGGAAGAGGCCUGAUAUCAAGUACUUCAAAUAUCCUGCUAAAAGUGAUCAUCUCCAAGAGUGCCUCAAUGAAAAACUCUGAUCUCCAUGAUGAUCCUGACACCAUUUAUCACUGGAACAGCCUCAAGAAAGUCAUCCAUUAGGUAUGUGAAAAAUCUCUAGGCUUCUCCACAAAGAAACAUCAGGAAUGGUUUGAUGAGAAUGAUAGAGGAAUUCAAGCAUUCACUGACAGAAAAAGAGCCUUCAAAGCUUGGCAAAAUGACAUCAGAUCCAAACAGGAGAUAGACAUUUGUUAUCAUAUUAAAGCUGAGAUCCAGAAGAAAAUUUGAAAAUGAAAGAAAACGUGGUGGGAGGACAAAGCAAAAGUGAUUUGAAAGUUUUCUGACAACCAUGAUGUUUAUACUUUCCUCAGUGCAACCAAUAUUGCAAGACAAAAUCAUCAAAGUCAUUCUGCAACAUCCCAUUAAGGACUACUUUGAAGAUCCAUCAACUUAUAAAGAGGCCUUGAAAGCCAUUAAGCAGAUGAAGAACAACAAAGCAUGUGAUCUUGAUGGAAUACGAGCUGAAAUUUAUAAGCAAGGUGGAAAAAAGCUCUCACAAAAUAUACAUUAUUAUUAUGAAAGUCUGGAAACAUGAACAGAUUUACAGUGAUGCCAGAAUCAUUAUCCUAUUCAAGAUAGAUCAGACUAAAGCAAUUAAGGUAUUGCGCUCCUAUCCAGAGCUGGGAAGAUCCUUGUCUGCAUUCUCCACAAUAGACUCAGUUUCCUCACUGAGAAGAUUUCACCCAAGUCCCAAGGUGGUUUGGACCACUCAGAGGUACAGUAGAUAUGAUCUUUGUUGCUAGACAGCUGCAGAAGAAAUGUCACAAGCAACACAGAGAUCUUCACAGGGUCUUCACUGAACAAACUAAGCCCUUUGAUUCAAUCAACAGGGCUUCCCAAAUUGGUAUCUCAAAUGACCACCAGGCACCCAUAGUUACUGCCUUAUGGACUAGUUGCAUAGCUCUCUUCUUACCCUAUACCAUGCCCCAUGUCUUGCAGAUGGCAUCCUCAUUGAUGUUCUCUUCACUUGGCCCUUCCUCUGGGGGCUCCUGGACCCUAUCUGGUUCCACAUUCCCCUCAAUAGGUUCCUGGACCCUCACUGGUCCCACACUCUCAGCCCCUUAAUCUGGGCUCUGGACCCUUCCCUGUGUCCCUAGGAACCUCCCCCUCCCCUUUGUUCCUCCCCAAACCUCCAGACUGCUUUAGGUAUUACCCUCCAUGUUGACCUUCUGGAGCUUUAGCCAUCCUACUGAAGCAAUCAAUGCUUUCUCAGCAGGCUCCAACCUGUUACUGCUGGCUCCACUCAGGUCUGGGCUUAUCUCCUACCUUAGCCCAGCCUUCCGGCAGGGUCAGAUAACUCCAUAAUCAACCCUGGCCACACCUGCAGGCUGCCCCAACACUAGCCUGCCUGCUUCUUAAAGUGGCAGAAACACCAAGCCUCUUGCCACAAUUUGUGCCCUGUUGCAUGGAGGUGAAACUUGGACGACAUAUCAGAAACACCUGAUAGCUCUGGAACAUGACCAUGGCAUAAGCAGUGUCUUUGGAAAAUCCUUUAUAUCAGUUGGGAGGACAGAAGAAUGAAUGUCAGUGUUCUGGCUCAAGCAAACACCACAAGCAUGGAAGUCAUGUUUGUGGCACCAGCUCCAUUGGACAGGAUGUCAUAAGGAUGCCUGACAACCCGCUCCCAAAACAUAUCCUAUACUCUCAAUUCACUGGUGGUCAGCACUGUAGAAGUGGGCAAAAGAAGAGAUUUAAGGACACCUUAAAGACCAAUCUGAAGAAAUGUGACAUUAACAUCAAUACCUGGACACUCAAGAACUGAAUUGUCUGCAGUGGUGCCAUGAUGUAGCAUUGAUCAUUUUACGAAAACUCACCUCAUUAUGGAGGUGGAUACAUGAGAGAGAUAUGUAAAGACAGCUGUGACCUAACAUAACCAGGAUCUACUUCUUCCACCCAGAACUGUUUGCCACACCUGCAGGUGAAUGUGCAGAUCUCAUCAGAGUCCUUGGUGGACUAUGGACUCAUUGAUGAGUUUCCGAUUUACUGAAGAAUGUCAUCCUUCUGUCAACAGCCUGCUGACAACAACAACAAAAAGCAAGACACUAAAAGGAACCUUAAUGACAUCUGAUGAGUAAAGUUGUUUUGUAUUUGAAAGUAUUAUACAUAAAAAAGAUUCCUGAGAAUUUGAUAUAAUUUCUCUUAUUGAAUUAAAAACCAUAGAGAACUGUGAUUUAGACUAGCAAAAUUAUGUAAUGAAUCAUUUUAAUAGAUUCUAGCUCUUCCUAAACAGAUUACCAUGAAUUUGUAGUUGAAUGUUUGAUAAAUGAAAAGAAACAAAAUGUUCUACUUUUCAGCACAUUUUGAUCCACAGCUGGUGCACCGACUGUUGCAGAGUGUAUAUUAGCUUUAGCUGUGAUUUUUCAAGUUAAGGUUUACUUUAUUUAGCUCUAUGGGUAUUUAAAAUUGCUUGAAGUAAAUGUUUUAACUUUAGAAAAUGUUGCUUAAUGAGGACUUUGGCCCACCUGGAAAAUAUUAAUAUUACUCCUUGAUCCUGCAGUGCAAUCCUUUAUAGUCAUACUGUGACCUGUGCUGUAGAAGCAUUGUAACCAGCCUGAUGAAAUGGCUUUUAUCUCCAUUUGGGUAGCUGUUAUAUUUCUGAUCCUAAAGAGUGACAUGAGAAAGAGGUCUGCAUUUACCUGGCCUCUGCUUAGGGCCAGUGUGGCCCUUCUCUAAUGCAUUUCACAUUGUCAAACUUUAAUAUGCAUAACCGAAUAUAGGGUUAUUUAGGAGACUUCCAUGGUACAUUUGAUACACAGCAUAGAUCUUUACGAAAAAUAAAAAAAUAUUGACUUAAAAUUUACGUAGACAUUUCAACAUUGUUUAAUAUACUUGUAAAGCAUUUACUUUGGCACUUUUAUCAUACAUUUUAAUAAAAUAUUUUACAGUUUGUUAAUGUGAAAAUAAAGGGCAAAUCGUGUUCACCUCACUAAAGUAAAGGUACAUAAGUACAUAAUUUAAUAGAGGUGAUUAAUUUAAUCUUUGUUAGGUCCCAUUGAUGUAAUAUCUAAUCUCAAUUCUGUAACUGACUCACUGUGUGUGUCAAAGCAAGCUCUUUACCCACUGGCAGUGCUCCCAAAUAUAAAAUGGGAUAUUAUUAUUAAUUUACCUGCUGGUUAUAUUCUGAGGAAAAAAACCGUUAAUGUUUGCACAGCAACUUGAAUUUGUACAGUGCUAUGCAAAUGCUAGCAUAUUAAAAGCAUUACUAUAAAGGAUUUAAGCAAAAAUGUUAUUUGCAUUAUUGUAAAAUAAAGAGGUCAAGGUCCUUGCCAUUCUAAUUGAAACACCCAAGUUAAUUUAGUUGUUGUUAUUUAGAACAGUUAUUCCUUUGUUUGGCAUAAAUAGAGUUUAUAGCCACUUGAGAUGAAUAAUCAUCACUAAAGCAGAGUAAUUUGCUCCAGUUUGAUUAUGUCAGCAUAAACAUAGUAGUGCUUCCAUUGAACACAUGACUUAAGACAUGGUAGUAUUUCCAUUGUUACCAUCUUUAUCAAAUGCCUAUAACAAAGAGGUUAAAAUUGCUUUGGGAUGCAAUUUAGUUUAUCAUUGAUGUGCUGUACAAUUGGUUUUAUAUCUUUCUGCAGUUAAAGCUAAAACAUAGUUUCAAUUUUUAAAAUUGUGAUUUUACAUUUAUGAUUGGUGGUGUGUUUUUGUUUAGAAUACAGUGCAACUGUAUCUUGUAUGGUGGCAAAAUAAUGCAACAUUUUUAACAGUGACUACUGCAUGGGGAAGCAACUCUUCAAUAGAUCUUUAUAUUUUGACAUGUAUAUCAUAUGGAAUAUAUUAGAAAUUUCCAAAAUAUAUUUUUCUCAAUACAUUUCAACAGGCCAAAAUAAAAUUUUAAGCCUUGGA